RNAcentral lists this long non-coding RNA (3464 nucleotides) under Homo sapiens (human). Its description in RNAcentral is "HSALNT0313279". Lineage: Eukaryota; Metazoa; Chordata; Mammalia; Primates; Hominidae. The record is from RNAcentral.
UUGAUUUCUUUCUUUUUUUUAAAUGUAGAUAAUUAGUGAUCUUUCCUCAUCCUUUAUUCAAUUAAGCAGAUAAAUCUUGGAUUCCACAUAUCUUGUCUACCACUGGAAUACUCCUGAUGUUUUCCCAGAAGCUUUCUUUCUACCAGGUAUUUAUCAUGGCUUAUGCCUAUGUCAUGAUUUGAUCUCCUACCUUCUGCUUCUGCCCCACAUUGCUCUCCUUAUCACCAUUUGUUCUUGUUGUUUUUCUCAGGAUACCAGUUGUGACAGGGGAUGUCACUUGAGACUCAAAGCAUUUUUUUUAAAAGACAGUUUGUCUAUAUAAAAGGUUAUCCCACUCUCCAAAAUAACACAGAAAAAACUGUCUUUUACAGAGAAUGCAUGAAUUGACUUAUACUUAUAUAUAGUUACACUUCUUAAUCUGGUACUUUAAUCAAUUCUUUCCAAAAUAUAUAGAAAGCACCUUCCGUAUGACAUCGGCAUUUCAUGGAGUUGAUGGACAGGGUUGAAAAGAUCACUGAGACAUGAUCUGCUAAAUGAGCUUUAAUCGGCAUAUUAUUUACCAUGUUCAUUAUAAGUAAGAAAGAUUGAGAUCUUUUUUUCUGGUAUGAGCAGAUUUAGUGCUUCUAGAACUAAGAUUAUGCCUCUACCAAGGAAUAGUUCAAAUGUAGUGAAUUAAUAUACAUAAUAUGUUUUAUAUUAGACAGGAGUAAGUACCAGGAAUAAGUGGCUGGCUGUGUUGAUUGAGAUUGUGACCAUAUGUAAGAUGGGCAAUUCUAGAUUUUCAUGAUUUUAAAAUCUUAUUAAAAGACCAUCACAAAUUUGAUAGCUUCCAGUGAUACUAGCAAAGCUUUUCAACCCAGUACCCUACAUUUCAUAGAGCACUUUUGUCUAUUAGUUUUACACAGAGUUGGCAUUCCAUCGAGGAAAAUCUCCAUAGUCUUUCUUUUCUUUGAUUUAAAGGCUGAUAGUAUUCUUCCACAAGGCUUUCUCUAAACACAUUGCACAGAUUCCCUAAGGAUGUGAAUUGUAACACAUUUUCAGUAGUGCAUGGUGUGACAUCAUCAGACUCACACAAGGCUGAUAGUUGAGAACCCAUUCACAAAACAGCAUGGGAAAGCUCAAGCCUUUCAAGGAACCACAAUGUACUUUUGCAAUGUAGCAAAUUGUAAUCCACAGGAGAUGAUGGCAGCCAAAGGAGAAUCUCUUCUUUGUGAGAUUUAGGAAGUAAAGUUAAGGGCUUCACGAUGUAGAAUCUUUUUUUUUUUUCCUUUACAUUAAAAGAACCCUAUAAUUAGUGUUUCUACAGUCAUUGCUGAGAUACUGUUAAGAGAACCAGAUUGGCAGGUUUAAAGGGUAUUUUACUUUCUACAAAUCCUGGGAAGAUACUCUUCCCUGAAUUUUUCACCUCAUGCUUUUACUAGAUGCCAGUUGCAGAGACUAUGUUAUGGCUUGUCUAGGAGAGAAAGGAUAAAUGUGUAAUCCACAUGCUAGUAAGCACUAAACAAUGAAAUAAUAAGCUCCUGGAAGACAGUAAGCAGAUAAGGUAAAGCUCUAACAACUGUUAUAGUGGAACAGUGAUGGUUUCCUAAUAACUAAAGAAAAAACAACCAUAAAGGGAAGGAAGGAUGAGAAAUAUAGGUGGUGGUUGCAAGUAACAUUUAGUAUCUAAGGUGUCAUUUUCCCACCAAGAAUGCAUAUGAAUAAAACCAUUCCCACCACAGCUGAAGUAAUCUGCAAGAGCACUUUGUAGAAGGGAUUCCAUUAAAAAUUGCUUCUAAAAAGACAUUAGCAGAUUUUCUUUCCCUAACUUUGUCAUUUCACAGGUGUAAGAAAUAUAAAUUGUUAUAGUGAUAGCCAGAAGAGAAAUGAUUAAUGAAAUAUUUUUAAUCAGCUAAGAAUGCUGCUUCAGUGACUGUUUUAAGCAGUUUCACAGGGAAAGAUAAUUUUCUUUAAUUAGUAUACUGGCUUUGAAUAAAGGAAGCAACCAGUUUGGUGUUGUUUAGCAUGAACAAAAUAUGUAUAAAAGCAGAUGAAAGAGAUUAACAUGAUAAAGGAAGAAAUUCUCUGCAAGGUAAGGACAGGGAUUUUUCUUGGAUGUUCAUGACUAAUAGUUUCUCCGAAGCCCAGUGAAGAGUGAUUUGUGGUUGGCAUAAUCAUACUGCAGUGAUGCAGGCAUUUUAAAAUUUUUCUACAUAUUUAGGAUUAUGGUUAGUGUUUGUUAAAAACUGCUCAUUUCUCAGUGUGAAUUUGGUUAUUUUGAACGAAAUUUAUAAUUUUUGUUAUAAAAUUAUAAAUUAAAAAUACUGUUUAGACAAUAAAAAAUGAGUGUUACCUGAAUAAGAAGAAUCUGACAAUUCCAUUAACAUAUUUUUUGGCAGAGAUUAUGUAAAAAUUAGAGAUAAUCUCAUUUCCAUUUCUUGCAGGUUCUGAAAAGGUCUAAUUUCUUUUUGGAUGACCCAAUCUUUAGGCAUUAUAUUGCCAGAGAUAUAUAAGUCCCUUCUAAGCUCAUUUGUUGUUGGAAGAAUUUGUUUCCUUGUAUUUAUAGGACUGAAGUCCUGUUCUCUUGCAGACUGCUAACUCAAGAUCACCCUCACCUUCUGGAGGUCACCCCUCUUCAUCAGCAGUCCACAAGUAACUGUCUUGAUUUUUUGUUUUUCUCGAUAAAUAAGCUUCAAAUGAAAUAGGCUUUCGAUGUGACAGUGUUUACAGGAAACAUUAUGCUGUUACGAACUUCCCUUAGAAUCAACCCAUUUGUGAAACACCACAUUAAUAAGAGCAGUAUCUUUGGAGAUUGGAGAGUCCACCAAGGAUGCCCACUGGCUCCCUACAAAGUUUUUUAUGUGAGGACUCGGUCUCAGAUAUGGCUACUGGGAUUCUGUUCAAACUGAGUGAAGACAUCAUCAUCUUUCUUUGAGAUCUUCCUUGCUUUCUGGCCAAAGAAGUUAUUCCCUGACCCGACUUUCCAAAGAGUACUAGUUCCUUUUAGCAGUGAUUAGAAACCUGAUCUGAGUACUACUGUGUGUGCUUGUGACUAGUGUGGUUUUAUUGUUUCUAUGUCCUUUCAGCGAGCAGAUCUACAAUGAGGGAUACAUCUAAACAAAACUCCAUAUUAAUAAGUCCAGUUGAAAUCUAACAACAUAGGGUUCUUUCGCAUUCUCUUGCAUUCCAUAUUUGUAUAUUCGUUCACCCAUGGUGGCAACCCUGGCUAUUAGAAAUAUAAUUGUAUUUAUUUUGCUGUAUCCUACAAUAAAACAAAAAAAUUAAGAAUUACUAUACCAACAUCAUGAUAAAAAUACACAUACUAAGUAAAUCUGUUAUGUAAACUACAAGUGUGUUUGUAGCAUUUUUGUUUUUACACUAUAGCCUACUAAGUGUGCAAUUAGACUUCUUGCUCACUGGUUUCUGUUUACUUUUAAUUUUAGUAUUUACUCUUGUUUCCCUUCCUUUUUAAUUUUAUUUUUAAA